UAGUCAUAUGCUUGUCUCAAAGAUUAAGCCAUGCAUGUCUAAGUUCAUGCCUUUAUACGGUGAAACCGCGAAUGGCUCAUUAAAUCAGCUAUGGUUUAUUGGAUCAUACUCGUUAAAUGGAUAACUGUAAUAACUCUAGAGCUAAUACAUGCCACGAAGCCCUGACCCCGGGCUCCCUCGGGGAAUGGGUGCACUUAUUAGAACAGAAGCCAACCAGUCUCCGCGUGCAUUCCCUCCUUCGGGAGGUGUGUGCGCGGGCUGCAGCACUUCUGGUGACUCUGGAUAAUUGUUACAGAUCGCAGUCGGCUUUACGUCGGGGACGGGUCCUUCAAAUGUCUGCCCUAUCAACUUUCGAUG
This 357-nucleotide ribosomal RNA is filed under the name unidentified cestode. Its description in RNAcentral is "SSU rRNA". It matches the Rfam family "Eukaryotic small subunit ribosomal RNA", at positions 21 to 327 of the family's 1831-position model. The record is from RNAcentral. Lineage: Eukaryota; Metazoa; Platyhelminthes; Cestoda.